This 368-nucleotide ribosomal RNA is filed under the name uncultured bacterium. RNAcentral's name for it is "bacterial SSU rRNA". It matches the Rfam family "Bacterial small subunit ribosomal RNA", at positions 28 to 402 of the family's 1533-position model. The record is from RNAcentral.
GACGAACGCUGGCGGCGUGCUUAACACAUGCAAGUCGAGCGGUAAGGCCCUUUUGGGGGUACACGAGCGGCGAACGGGUGAGUAACACGUGGGUGACCUGCCCUCAGCUCUGGGAUAAGCCUGGGAAACUGGGUCUAAUACUGGAUAUGACCUUUCCUCGCAUGGGGUUGGGUGGAAAGUUUUUCGGCUGGGGAUGGGCCCGCGGCCUAUCAGCUUGUUGGUGGGGUGAUGGCCUACCAAGGCGACGACGGGUAGCCGGCCUGAGAGGGCGACCGGCCACACUGGACUGAGACACGGCCCAGACUCCUACGGGAGGCAGCAGUGGGAAUAUUGCGCAAUGGGCGAAGCCUGACGCAGCGACGCCGCGU